This 63-nucleotide small nuclear RNA is filed under the name Mus pahari (shrew mouse). RNAcentral describes it as "predicted gene, 22788 (MGP_PahariEiJ_G0033318.1)". It matches the Rfam family "U7 small nuclear RNA". From Rfam's summary of the family: Animal histone pre-mRNAs are spliced by a different mechanism than nuclear pre-mRNAs and self-splicing introns. This processing involves the U7 snRNP, which contains only one RNA species: U7. The 5' end of U7 RNA is thought to base-pair to a conserved spacer element downstream of the cleavage site in histone pre-mRNA. Lineage: Eukaryota; Metazoa; Chordata; Mammalia; Rodentia; Muridae. The record is from RNAcentral.
CGCUAAUGCAGCUCUUUUAGAAUUUUGUCUAGCAGGUUUUCUGACUUUGGCUGGAAAAUCUAU